Small nuclear RNA from Loxodonta africana (African savanna elephant), 107 nucleotides. NCBI's taxonomy places the organism in Eukaryota, Metazoa, Chordata, Mammalia, Proboscidea, Elephantidae. The record is from Ensembl.
GUGCUCGCUUCAGCAGUACAUACAGUAAAAUUGGAAUGAUACAGAGAAGAUUAGCGUGGCCUCUGCGCAAGGCUGAUGCAAAAAUUUGUGAAGUGUUCCAUAUUUUU